Molecule: ribosomal RNA, 253 nt
Filed under: uncultured bacterium
Lineage: Bacteria
Description: partial 16S ribosomal RNA
Rfam family: Bacterial small subunit ribosomal RNA
Source: RNAcentral
UACAGAGGUCUCAAGCGUUGUUCGGAUUCAUUGGGCGUAAAGGGUGCGUAGGUGGCGCCGUAAGUCGGGUGUGAAAUUUCGGAGCUUAACUCCGAAACUGCAUUCGAUACUGCGGUGCUUGAGGACUGGAGAGGAGACUGGAAUUCAUGGUGUAGCGGUGAAAUGCGUAGAUAUCAAGAGGAAGACCAGUGGCGAAAGCGGCUCACUGGAUCGAUACUGACGCUGAGGUGCGAAAGCUAGGGUAGCAAACGGG